AAGAGCGCGGGCGGCGAGGCAAGAUGGCGGCAACCAAGAGGAAACGGCGUGGAGGUUUUGCAGUUCAGGCGAAGAAGCCAAAAAGAAACGAAAAAGAUGCGGAGCCGCCAGCUAAGCGGCACGCCACAGCAGAGGAGGUGGAGGAAGAAGAGAGGGACCGGAUCCCAGGCCCCGUUUGCAAGGGAAAGUGGAAAAAUAAGGAACGGAUUCUCAUCUUUUCUUCCAGAGGAAUAAAUUUCAGAACAAGACAUUUAAUGCAGGACUUGAGAAUGUUGAUGCCUCAUUCUAAAGCAGAUACUAAAAUGGAUCGUAAGGAUAAGCUAUUUGUGAUUAACGAGGUAAUUUUGGAAAGUAAUUGCAAUAAAAUAUUUUAAAAACAUUAACAAUGGCUCAUUUCAAAAAUAAGUCAUUCAGUGACUUUAAAAAUUGUUUUGUAAAAACUAUUCAGACACAUUUUAUUAACUCUUCAAUAACUGGUCUUCCAAAGUUUUCUCUCUCACAGUUUAGUGCUUCAGUCAUUUCUGUUUGUUUUGUCUGAACAAGCAUAUUGAAAUUUCCUCAGAAGGAUUAUGUCCCGUUUUUUAACCCCGUAGUGUCUAGUAUUAUGCUAAAUCCAUAGUAGGUACUCAAAAAAUUAUCAGUCAACAUAUAUAAAGUAAAAUAAGUCCAUUAAACAUAUACACGUAUAAAACCCACAUGGUAAAAAGUGUUUUGCCAGUAUUAAAAGUGAUUUGUGUGGAACUGGCUCUUAAGGUAUUACAAACUAGGAAGAGGUUACAUUUUCAAAGUAUUGUUUAAGAUACUAAUGUAUAUUUUUUUAACCUCUGGAAGCACAGAACAUAAAUUUACAUUUUAAAGCAAAAUUUUCAAAACUUAGAAGAAUUAGGAUCAUUUUUUCACUAUUAGCCUUCUUUAGAGCACAAAUUUUUGAACCUCUGCUGUAAUACCACAUUAUUCUAUGUGCUGUAGAAACUGUUUAACAGAGCAAUGUCCCUGUCAUUAUGGAACUUAUAUUCUAAUGGAGACAGGCCAUAAACAAGGUUUAUAAUUUCAAGUAAAGAUAGGAGAAAUAAAGCAGGUUAUAGGUUUUCGACAGCUGAGGCUAGACCGGAAAAACCUGUUCAAAGGGAUGGUAUAUUUGAGCAGAGACCUAGUGAAGGAGAAAUAUGGUAAAAGACCAUUCUAGCUAGAGAAAAUGGCAACUACAAAGGCCCAGAAGUGGCACAAACUUCCUGUUUUUGUGUUUAUUCUAAGACCAGUAAGAAACAAAAAUUUUUUUUUUUUUAAGUUGUUAGGGUUUAUUUGUUUAACUGGUUUUGGAGACAAAGUCUCACUCUGUUACCCAGGCUGGAGUGAGGUGGUAUGAUCUCAGCUCACUGCAGCCUCUGUUUCAUGGGUUUAAGCAAUUCUCCUGCCUCAGCCUCCCGAGUAGCCGGAACUACAGGCACACGCCACUAUGCCCAGCUAAUUUUUUGUAUUUUUAGUAGAGACGUGGCUUUGCCGGGUUGCUCAGACAAUUCACCUGCCUUGGCCUCCCAAAGUGCUGGGGUUACAGGCAUGAACCACCUCAUCCAGCCAUAAGUUGUUAGGUUUAAAGUCUUAAAUAGUUUGGAGUUUAAGAGUACUAUAUUAAUUAGAGUUUGUGAAUACUACAGUAAUACAAGACUUCACUCCUGUAAUGUUUUUAUAUCAAGUGUGACUUUUGUAAGCCUUCAAGACAUUGAAGUUUAAUUUGAAAUAGGUUUUAUAUACUUAGGCUUUUCACCCAAUCCCUUAGUGAUUUUAUAGAACCAAAUCACCAGAAAUCAUAGUAUAAAUGAACAACUUAAGUUUUGUGAUCUUAAAAUCAAAAAGCUAAAAAGUUAAAAACCAAAAUAAUCAUUAAAAAGGAUGUUUUUAGUUCUAUAAGGACUGGAUUUUCAUAAGAUUGGCUAAGAAGAUUGAUUAUGAAGGAUUAAUAUAAGAAGAUUAGUUGUGGUAUGCCUUAUCCAUAGGGCAUCUAUUUUUAGUCUUUGUAGUUUGUAAAUGGGACUAUGGGCAGAAGAGGUUCCUGGCCGGGCGCGGUGGCUCACGCCUGUAAUCCCAGCACUUUGGGAGGCCGAGGCAGGCAGAUCACCUGAGGUUGUGAGUUCAAGACCAGCCAGACCAACAUGGAGAAACCCCAUCUCUACUAAAAAUACAAAAUUAGCGGGGUGUGAUGGCACAUGCCUAUAAUAUCCCGGCUACUCCGGAGGCUGAAGCAGGAGAAUCAUUUGAACCUGGGAGGUGGAGGUUGUGGCGAGCUGAGAUCGUGCCAUUUCACUCCAGCCUGGGCAACAAGAGCGAAAUUCCAUCUCAAAAAAAAAGAG
RNAcentral lists this small RNA (2348 nucleotides) under Pongo abelii (Sumatran orangutan). RNAcentral's name for it is "retained intron". The record is from RNAcentral. Lineage: Eukaryota; Metazoa; Chordata; Mammalia; Primates; Hominidae.